Molecule: non-coding RNA, 148 nt
Filed under: Pan troglodytes (chimpanzee)
Lineage: Eukaryota; Metazoa; Chordata; Mammalia; Primates; Hominidae
Source: Rfam by way of RNAcentral
GCUGGGCGUGGUGGCGGGCGCCUGUAGUCCCAGCUACUCGGGAGACUGAGGCAGGGGAAUCGCUUGAACCCAGGAGGUGGAGGUUGCAGUGAGCCGAGAUUGCGCCACUGCACUCCAGCCUGGGUGACAAAGCGAGACUCUGUCUCAA